Molecule: ribosomal RNA, 301 nt
Filed under: uncultured bacterium
Lineage: Bacteria
Description: partial 16S ribosomal RNA
Rfam family: Bacterial small subunit ribosomal RNA
Source: RNAcentral
CAGUCGCCGCGGUAAUACGAAGGGGGCUAGCGUUGUUCGGAAUUACUGGGCGUAAAGCGCACGUAGGCGGAUCGAUCAGUCAGGGGUGAAAUCCCAGGGCUCAACCCUGGAACUGCCUUUGAUACUGUCGAUCUGGAGUAUGGAAGAGGUGAGUGGAAUUCCGAGUGUAGAGGCGAAAUUCGUAGAUAUUCGGAGGAACACCAGUGGCGAAGGCGGCUCACUGGUCCAUUACUGACGCUGAGGUGCGAAAGCGUGGGGAGCAAACAGGAUUAGAUACCCCAGUAGUCCCUGUCUCUUAUAC